GACGAGGCACUACGGUGCUGAAGCAACAAAUGCCCUGCUUCCAGGAAAAGCCUCUAAGCAUCAGGUAACAUCAAAUCGUACCCCAAACCGACACAGGUGGUCAGGUAGAGAAUACCAAGGCGCUUGAGAGAACUCGGGUGAAGGAACUAGGCAAAAUGGUGCCGUAACUUCGGGAGAAGGCACGCUGACACGUAGGUGAAGUGAUUUACUCAUGGAGCUGAAGUCAGUCGAAGAUACCAGCUGGCUGCAACUGUUUAUUAAAAACACAGCACUGUGCAAACACGAAAGUGGACGUAUACGGUGUGACGCCUGCCCGGUGCCGGAAGGUUAAUUGAUGGGGUCAGCGCAAGCGAAGCUCCUGAUCGAAGCCCCGGUAAACGGCGGCCGUAACUAUAACGGUCCUAAGGUAGCGAAAUUCCUUGUCGGGUAAGUUCCGACCUGCACGAAUGGCGUAAUGAUGGCCAGGCUGUCUCCACCCGAGACUCAGUGAAAUUGAACUCGCUGUGAAGAUGCAGUGUACCCGCGGCAAGACGGAAAGACCCCGUGAACCUUUACUAUAGCUUGACACUGAACAUUGAGCCUUGAUGUGUAGGAUAGGUGGGAGGCUUUGAAGUGUGGACGCCAGUCUGCAUGGAGCCGACCUUGAAAUACCACCCUUUAAUGUUUGAUGUUCUAACGUGGACCCGUGAUCCGGGUUGCGGACAGUGUCUGGUGGGUAGUUUGACUGGGGCGGUCUCCUCCUAAAGAGUAACGGAGGAGCACGAAGGUUGGCUAAUCCUGGUCGGACAUCAGGAGGUUAGUGCAAUGGCAUAAGCCAGCUUGACUGCGAGCGUGACGGCGCGAGCAGGUGCGAAAGCAGGUCAUAGUGAUCCGGUGGUUCUGAAUGGAAGGGCCAUCGCUCAACGGAUAAAAGGUACUCCGGGGAUAACAGGCUGAUACCGCCCAAGAGUUCAUAUCGACGGCGGUGUUUGGCACCUCGAUGUCGGCUCAUCACAUCCUGGGGCUGAAGUAGGUCCCAAGGGUAUGGCUGUUCGCCAUUUAAAGUGGUACGCGAGCUGGGUUUAGAACGUCGUGAGACAGUUCGGUCCCUAUCUGCCGUGGGCGCUGGAGAACUGAGGGGGGCUGCUCCUAGUACGAGAGGACCGGAGUGGACGCAUCACUGGUGUUCGGGUUGUCAUGCCAAUGGCACUGCCCGGUAGCUAAAUGCGGAAGAGAUAAGUGCUGAAAGCAUCUAAGCACGAAACUUGCCCCGAGAUGAGUUCUCCCUGAGACUUAAAGUCUCCUGAAGGAACGUUGAAGACGACGACGUUGAUAGGCCGGGUGUGUAAGCGCAGCGAUGCGUUGAGCUAACCGGUACUAAUGAACCGUGAGGCUUAACCUUACAACGCCGAAG
This 1393-nucleotide ribosomal RNA is filed under the name Salmonella enterica. RNAcentral's name for it is "partial 23S ribosomal RNA". It matches the Rfam family "Bacterial large subunit ribosomal RNA", at positions 1568 to 2925 of the family's 2925-position model. RNAcentral also lists the same sequence under 1 other name. The record is from RNAcentral. Lineage: Bacteria; Pseudomonadati; Pseudomonadota; Gammaproteobacteria; Enterobacterales; Enterobacteriaceae.